ACGGGAGGCAGCAGUGGGGAAUAUUGGGCAAUGGGCGAAAGCCUGACCCAGCAACGCCGCGUGAAGGAAGAAGGUUUUCGGAUUGUAAACUUCUUUUAUCAGGGACGAAGGAAGUGACGGUACCUGAUGAAUAAGCCGCGGCUAACUACGUGCCAGCAGCCGCGGUAAUACGUAGGUGGCAAGCGUUAUCCGGAUUUACUGGGUGUAAAGGGCGCGUAGGCGGGGAUGCAAGUCAGAUGUGAAGUCCAUGGGCUUAACCCAUGAACUGCAUUUGAAACUGUAUUUCUUGAGUGUCGGAGAGGUAGACGGAAUUCCUAGUGUAGCGGUGAAAUGCGUAGAUAUUAGGAGGAACACCAGUGGCGAAGGCGGUCUACUGGACGAUAACUGACGCUGAGGCGCGAAAGCGUGGGGAGCAAGCAGGAUUAGAUACCCUGGUA
RNAcentral lists this ribosomal RNA (437 nucleotides) under uncultured Oscillospiraceae bacterium. Its description in RNAcentral is "partial 16S ribosomal RNA". It matches the Rfam family "Bacterial small subunit ribosomal RNA", at positions 341 to 792 of the family's 1533-position model. Lineage: Bacteria; Bacillati; Bacillota; Clostridia; Eubacteriales; Oscillospiraceae. The record is from RNAcentral.